RNAcentral lists this ribosomal RNA (942 nucleotides) under uncultured Bacteroidales bacterium. Its description in RNAcentral is "bacterial SSU rRNA". It matches the Rfam family "Bacterial small subunit ribosomal RNA", at positions 8 to 943 of the family's 1533-position model. The record is from RNAcentral. Lineage: Bacteria; Pseudomonadati; Bacteroidota; Bacteroidia; Bacteroidales. RNAcentral also lists the same sequence under 1 other name.
AGAGUUUGAUCCUGGCUCAGGAUGAACGCUAGCGGCAGGCUUAACACAUGCAAGUCGAGGGGCAGCGAGAUUGAAGCUUGCUUCAAUUGUCGGCGACCGGCGGACGGGUGCGUAACGCGUAUGCAACCUACCCAUAACAGGGGGAUAACACUGAGAAAUUGGUACUAAUACCCCAUAACAUCUCGAGUGGCAUCACUUGGGGUUGAAAGCUUCGGUGGUUAUGGAUGGGCAUGCGUUGUAUUAGCUAGUUGGAGAGGUAACGGCUCACCAAGGCGACGAUACAUAGGGGGACUGAGAGGUUAACCCCCCACAUUGGUACUGAGACACGGACCAAACUCCUACGGGAGGCAGCAGUGAGGAAUAUUGGUCAAUGGACGGAAGUCUGAACCAGCCAUGCCGCGUGCAGGAUGACGGCUCUAUGAGUUGUAAACUGCUUUUGUACGAGGGUAAACCCGAAUACGUGUAUUCGGCUGAAAGUAUCGUACGAAUAAGGAUCGGCUAACUCCGUGCCAGCAGCCGCGGUAAUACGGAGGAUCCAAGCGUUAUCCGGAUUUAUUGGGUUUAAAGGGUGCGUAGGCGGUCAGAUAAGUUAGAGGUGAAAUUCCGGUGCUUAACACCGGCGCUGCCUCUAAUACUGUUUGACUAGAGAGUAGUUGCGGUAGGCGGAAUGUAUGGUGUAGCGGUGAAAUGCUUAGAGAUCAUACAGAACACCGAUUGCGAAGGCAGCUUACCAAGCUAUAUCUGACGUUGAGGCACGAAAGCGUGGGGAGCAAACAGGAUUAGAUACCCUGGUAGUCCACGCAGUAAACGAUGAUAACUCGUUGUCGGCGAUACAAUGUCGGUGACUAAGCGAAAGCGAUAAGUUAUCCACCUGGGGAGUACGUUCGCAAGAAUGAAACUCAAAGGAAUUGACGGGGGCCCGCACAAGCGGAGGAACAUGUG